GCGCUGUUAGCUCAGCUGGUAGAGCAGAUCCCUCUUAAGGAUAAGGUCACAGGUUCGAAUCCUGUACAGCGCACCA
This 76-nucleotide transfer RNA is filed under the name bacterium. RNAcentral's name for it is "tRNA-Lys". It matches the Rfam family "tRNA". Rfam says of the family: Transfer RNA (tRNA) molecules are approximately 80 nucleotides in length. Their secondary structure includes four short double-helical elements and three loops (D, anti-codon, and T loops). RNAcentral also lists the same sequence under 2 other names. The record is from RNAcentral.